RNAcentral lists this ribosomal RNA (468 nucleotides) under uncultured bacterium. Its description in RNAcentral is "partial 16S ribosomal RNA". It matches the Rfam family "Bacterial small subunit ribosomal RNA", at positions 28 to 507 of the family's 1533-position model. The record is from RNAcentral.
GACGAACGCUGGCGGCGUGCUUAACACAUGCAAGUCGAACGGAAAGGCCCUGCUUUUGUGGGGUGCUCGAGUGGCGAACGGGUGAGUAACACGUGAGUAACCUGCCCUUGACUUUGGGAUAACUUCAGGAAACUGGGGCUAAUACCGGAUAGGAGCUCCUGCUGCAUGGUGGGGGUUGGAAAGUUUCGGCGGUUGGGGAUGGACUCGCGGCUUAUCAGCUUGUUGGUGGGGUAGUGGCUUACCAAGGCUUUGACGGGUAGCCGGCCUGAGAGGGUGACCGGCCACAUUGGGACUGAGAUACGGCCCAGACUCCUACGGGAGGCAGCAGUGGGGAAUAUUGCACAAUGGGCGGAAGCCUGAUGCAGCAACGCCGCGUGCGGGAUGACGGCCUUCGGGUUGUAAACCGCUUUCGCCUGUGGCGAAGCGUGAGUGACGGUAAUGGGUAAAGAAGCACCGGCUAACCACGUG